GACGAACGCUGGCGGCGUGCUUAACACAUGCAAGUCGAACGGAAAGGCCCUGCUUUUGUGGGGUGCUCGAGUGGCGAACGGGUGAGUAACACGUGAGUAACCUGCCCUUGACUUUGGGAUAACUUCAGGAAACUGGGGCUAAUACCGGAUAGGAGCUCCUGCUGCAUGGUGGGGGUUGGAAAGUUUCGGCGGUUGGGGAUGGACUCGCGGCUUAUCAGCUUGUUGGUGGGGUAGUGGCUUACCAAGGCUUUGACGGGUAGCCGGCCUGAGAGGGUGACCGGCCACAUGGGGACUGAGAUACGGCCCAGACUCCUACGGGAGGCAGCAGUGGGGAAUAUUGCACAAUGGGCGGAAGCCUGAUGCAGCAACGCCGCGUGCGGGAUGACGGCCUUCGGGGUGUAAACCGCUUUCGCCUGCGACGAAGCGUGAGUGACGGUAAUGGGUAAAGAAGCACCGGCUAACUACGUG
Molecule: ribosomal RNA, 468 nt
Filed under: uncultured bacterium
Lineage: Bacteria
Description: partial 16S ribosomal RNA
Rfam family: Bacterial small subunit ribosomal RNA
Source: RNAcentral